RNAcentral lists this ribosomal RNA (253 nucleotides) under uncultured bacterium. Its description in RNAcentral is "partial 16S ribosomal RNA". It matches the Rfam family "Bacterial small subunit ribosomal RNA", at positions 524 to 776 of the family's 1533-position model. The record is from RNAcentral.
UACGUAGGGGGCGAGCGUUGUCCGGAAUUAUUGGGCGUAAAGAGCGCGCAGGCGGCUUGGUAAGUCGGAUGUGAAAACCCGAGGCUCAACCUCGGGCGUGCAUCCGAAACUGCUCGGCUAGAGGUAGGUAGGGGAGAUCGGAAUUCCUGGUGUAGCGGUGAAAUGCGCAGAUAUCAGGAGGAACACCGAUGGCGAAGGCAGCCCCCUGGGUCGACACUGACGCUCAGGCACGAAAGCGUGGGGAGCAAACAGG